Molecule: ribosomal RNA, 500 nt
Filed under: uncultured bacterium
Lineage: Bacteria
Description: partial 16S ribosomal RNA
Rfam family: Bacterial small subunit ribosomal RNA
Source: RNAcentral
GACGAACGCUGGCGGCGUGCUUAACACAUGCAAGUCGAACGGGUCUGCCCUGUUUUUUGCGGGGUGGGUCAGUGGCGAACGGGUGAGUAACACGUGAGUAACCUGCCCCUCACUUCUGGAUAACCGCUUGAAAGGGUGGCUAAUACGGGGUGUUCUGGCUGUGCCGCAUGGUGUGGCUGGGAAAGAUUCACUUUUGUGGUGUUUUGGUGGGGGAUGGGCUCGCGGCCUAUCAGCUUGUUGGUGGGGUGAUGGCCUGCCAAGGCUUUGACGGGUAGCCGGCCUGGGAGGGUGGGCGGUCACACUGGGACUGAGGUACGGCCCAGACUCCUGCGGGAGGCAGCAGUGGGGGGUAUUGCACAAUGGGCGGAAGCCUGAUGCAGCGACGUCGCGGGAGGGAUGGAGGCCUUCGGGUUGUGAACCUCUUUCGCCGGUGAAGAAGGUCCUGCUCUUUGUGGUGGGGUUGACGGUAGCCGGGUUAUGAAGCGCCGGCUAACUACGUG